GAUGGUGAUUUCUGUGAUGUGAACACCUGUCCUCUAGGAACUGGGCGAAGGCGACCAAACAGUUGUCAGAUGAGAGUGGACUGGAAUUAGUGUUUGUGGACCUGAAAACAGAAGAGAGAUGUUCACAGCUUGCAUGUGGAAAAUGCAUCUACUCCCCAGAGCAGAGCAUGAGAAGAUGGCUGAGAAUGCACAAACAGCACUGCAAGGAUUAUGACAUCACACUGGGAGAAGCACUAAGAAAGGAAAUACAAACCAUAGACCUGCACUGAGUUGUGAGAUCUCAUGAAGGCAGAGACAAGAAAUUAGAAUUUGUUCUCAGGAACACUUUGGAGGAAAUAGUUUAAAAAGAGGGUUUAACUAGAUAAUGUUGGCAGUGGGGCUGUGAAUGGGAUGAAUUGGGUACAAGUUGAAAAGAAGGCAGAAAGGAAGGGGUAACAGAGCGGGGAUGUGGUUAUUGAAGAAAAAAGGAAAUAAUUUCUCGAGACAGAGGCAGAAAAGUGUUUGUGACAGGCUGGAAGUCUGGAAGAAAUAAAAGAAAGUUUGGAAAUGGUCUUGUUAUGGCAUGAACAGUGGUAGGGGUCCACAUAUACAGAGGAAUGCAGAGGCAGGAAGAAAAUUUCAAAACACUUGCUUUUAGCAAUGUGUUUAAUCUAAUGACAAUCAUCUACCAGAAAGACAUGUACAGAGAUUCAUGGGAAAAAUGGAGAAGUAAACUUGUUAGCUGUCAGCGCUAAGAUAAAUCCUAAAGACAGACCAGUCUAAAGCCACUUGGGUGUACAUGUACAUACACCAACUGCUGGGAUUAGGAGUGGGCCCUGCUGCCACUUCUUCCCAAAUCCCAUACCCCAACCCUUCUCCAGAGGUACUGUAACUAUUCAAAGGCAUGGAGCAAGAGCUGGUGCUUCCGAGCGACAAAAGGUAGAUCUGAUGAACUGCUCCACUCAAAGGGCCAGGCCUCAUCUUUGCCCUGUCCUUCCCAC
Molecule: long non-coding RNA, 980 nt
Filed under: Gallus gallus (chicken)
Lineage: Eukaryota; Metazoa; Chordata; Aves; Galliformes; Phasianidae
Description: long non-coding RNA NONGGAT004336
Source: RNAcentral